This 267-nucleotide long non-coding RNA is filed under the name Rattus norvegicus (Norway rat). Its description in RNAcentral is "long non-coding RNA NONRATT026651". The record is from RNAcentral. Lineage: Eukaryota; Metazoa; Chordata; Mammalia; Rodentia; Muridae.
AGUCUCGUCCCAUGACAAGAUGGUGAAGGUCAGUGUGAAUGGAUUUGGCCUAUUGGCUGCCUUCUGCUCUGCAUCUGGCAAAGUGGACAUUGUUGCCAUCAACGACCCUUCAUUGACCUCAAUUACAUGGUCUACGUGUUCCUGUAUGACUCUACCCACGGCAAGUUCAACGGCACAGUCAAGGCUGAGAAUGGGAAGCUUGUCAUCAACGGGAAGCCAUCACCAUCUUCCAGGAGCGAGAUCCCGCUAACAUCAAAUGGGUGACGC